GUGCAUGCCACCAGACGUCCGCCUGAAGGGUAACACACGAUGCAAGUUAGCAUUAAGCAUGUUACCAGAUGAGGUGUUGGACAAAGAAUGGGACGUGAUAAUGAUAGACGCGCCGCGAGGGUAUUUUGCAGCGGCACCAGGGAGGAUGGGGGCAAUAUUUUCAGCUGCAGUGAUGGCACGUGCAAGGACACGCCAAGGUGUGACUCAUGUAUAUUUGCAUGAUGUGGAUAGGAAGGUGGAGAAGGUUUAUGCAGAGGAGUUCUUGUGCAAGAAGUAUUUGGUGAAGGGCGUGGGGAGGCUUUGGCAUUUUGAGAUUCCAUCUCUUGCAAAUAGGAGCGAUAGUGAUGCUUCUACUAGUUUUUGCUAAACU
This 370-nucleotide unclassified non-coding RNA is filed under the name Hevea brasiliensis (rubber tree). Lineage: Eukaryota; Viridiplantae; Streptophyta; Magnoliopsida; Malpighiales; Euphorbiaceae. The record is from RNAcentral.